Long non-coding RNA from Bufo bufo (common toad), 302 nucleotides. RefSeq lists it as uncharacterized. The record is from RefSeq and is a predicted model, not a curated record. NCBI's taxonomy places the organism in Eukaryota, Metazoa, Chordata, Amphibia, Anura, Bufonidae. The transcript is spliced from 3 exons.
AUUUCCUUUUGAAAGUGUAGGCAACACCAAACAACCAAGAUAAAGCAUGGAAUGUGGAACUAAGCCAAUCCUAUCAACUUCUUCUUCCUUUUAACCUUGGAUAAGUAAACCUAGUGGAAGACAAGAGGUCAUAAAACUUCAGUCAUCUGUCAAUUUCCUUUUGAAAGUGUAGGCAACACCAAACAACCAAGAUAAAGCAUGGAAUGUGGAACUAAGCCAAUCCUAUCAACUUCUUCUUCCUUUUAACCUUGGAUAAGUAAACCUAGUGGAAGACAAGAGGUCAUAAAACUUCAGUCAUCUGU